This 71-nucleotide transfer RNA is filed under the name Rhoptropus afer. Its description in RNAcentral is "tRNA-Tyr". Lineage: Eukaryota; Metazoa; Chordata; Lepidosauria; Squamata; Gekkonidae. The record is from RNAcentral.
CUAUUUGGUAGCAAGGGUUUACCGCCCUGUGAAYGAGGUUACAGCUCGACGCCUAUCUCGGCCAUACUACC